AUUGAACGCUGGCGGCAUGCCUUACACAUGCAAGUCGAACGGCAGCACGGGUGCUUGCACCUGGUGGCGAGUGGCGAACGGGUGAGUAAUACAUCGGAACAUGUCCUGUAGUGGGGGAUAGCCCGGCGAAAGCCGGAUUAAUACCGCAUACGAUCUACGGAUGAAAGCGGGGGACCUUCGGGCCUCGCGCUAUAGGGUUGGCCGAUGGCUGAUUAGCUAGUUGGUGGGGUAAAGGCCUACCAAGGCGACGAUCAGUAGAUGGUCUGAGAGGACGACCAGCCACACUGGGACUGAGACACGGCCCAGACUCCUACGGGAGGCAGCAGUGGGGAAUUUUGGACAAAGGGCGAAAGCCUGAUCCAGCAAUGCCGCGUGUGUGAAGAAGGCCUUCGGGUUGUAAAGCACUUUUGUCCGGAAAGAAAUCCUUGGCUCUAAUACAGUCGGGGGAUGACGGUACCGGAAGAAUAAGCACCGGCUAACUACGUG
RNAcentral lists this ribosomal RNA (486 nucleotides) under uncultured bacterium. RNAcentral describes it as "partial 16S ribosomal RNA". It matches the Rfam family "Bacterial small subunit ribosomal RNA", at positions 30 to 507 of the family's 1533-position model. The record is from RNAcentral.